This 468-nucleotide ribosomal RNA is filed under the name uncultured bacterium. RNAcentral describes it as "partial 16S ribosomal RNA". It matches the Rfam family "Bacterial small subunit ribosomal RNA", at positions 28 to 507 of the family's 1533-position model. The record is from RNAcentral.
GACGAACGCUGGCGGCGUGCUUAACACAUGCAAGUCGAACGGGAAGGCCCUGCUUUUGUGGGGUGCUCGAGUGGCGAACGGGUGAGUAACACGUGAGUAACCUGCCCUUGACUUUGGGAUAACUUCAGGAAACUGGGGCUAAUACCGGAUAGGAGCUCCUGCUGCAUGGUGGGGGUUGGAAAGUUUCGGCGGUUGGGGAUGGACUCGCGGCUUAUCAGCUUGUUGGUGGGGUAGUGGCUUACCGAGGCUUUGACGGGUAGCCGGCCUGAGAGGGUGACCGGCCACAUUGGGACUGAGAUACGGCCCAGACUCCUACGGGAGGCAGCAGUGGGGAAUAUUGCACAAUGGGCGGAAGCCUGAUGCAGCAACGCCGCGUGCGGGAUGACGGCCUUCGGGUUGUAAACCGCUUUCGCCUGUGACGAAGCGUGAGUGACGGUAAUGGGUAAAGAAGCACCGGCUAACUACGUG